This 468-nucleotide ribosomal RNA is filed under the name uncultured bacterium. RNAcentral's name for it is "partial 16S ribosomal RNA". It matches the Rfam family "Bacterial small subunit ribosomal RNA", at positions 28 to 507 of the family's 1533-position model. The record is from RNAcentral.
GACGAACGCUGGCGGCGUGCUUAACACAUGCAAGUCGAACGGAAAGGCCCUGCUUUUGUGGGGUGCUCGAGUGGCGAACGGGUGAGUAACACGUGAGUAACCUGCCCUUGACUUUGGGAUAACUUCAGGAAACUGGGGCUAAUACCGGAUAGGAUCUCCUGCUGCAUGGUGGGGGUUGGAAAGUUUCGGCGGUUGGGGAUGGACUGGCGGCUUAGCAGCUUGUUGGUGGGGUAGUGGCUUACCAAGGCGUUGACGGGUAGCGGGCCUGAGAGGGUGACCGGCCACAUUGGGACUGAGGUACGGCCCAGACUCCUACGGGAGGCAAUAGGGGGGAAUAUUGAACAAUGGGCGGAGGGCUGAUGCAGCAGCGCCGCGUGCGGGAUAACGGCCUUCGGGUGAUAAACCGCUUUCGCCUGUAACGACGCGUGAGUGACGGUAAUGGAUAAAGAAGCACCGGCUAACUACGUG